UACGUAGGGUGCGAGCGUUGUCCGGAAUUAUUGGGCGUAAAGGGCUCGUAGGCGGUUUGUCGCGUCGGGAGUGAAAACCUCGGGCUUAACUCGGGGCUUGCUUUCGAUACGGGCAGACUAGAGGUAUGCAGGGGAGAACGGAAUUCCUGGUGUAGCGGUGAAAUGCGCAGAUAUCAGGAGGAACACCGGUGGCGAAGGCGGUUCUCUGGGCAUGAUCUGACGCUGAGGAGCGAAAGUGUGGGGAGCGAACAG
Molecule: ribosomal RNA, 252 nt
Filed under: uncultured bacterium
Lineage: Bacteria
Description: partial 16S ribosomal RNA
Rfam family: Bacterial small subunit ribosomal RNA
Source: RNAcentral